GCCGUAGCUCAGUGGUAGAGCAACCGCCUUGGAUAUAGAAGGGCUCAGGUUCAAUCCCGGGUAUCUGCA
Podarcis lilfordi (Lilford's wall lizard) is the source of this 69-nucleotide non-coding RNA. The record is from the annotation of a GenBank genome assembly. Lineage: Eukaryota; Metazoa; Chordata; Lepidosauria; Squamata; Lacertidae.